Molecule: ribosomal RNA, 429 nt
Filed under: Verrucomicrobiota bacterium
Lineage: Bacteria; Pseudomonadati; Verrucomicrobiota
Description: Verrucomicrobia bacterium partial 16S ribosomal RNA
Rfam family: Bacterial small subunit ribosomal RNA
Source: RNAcentral
UAGGGAAUCUUCCGCAAUGGACGAAAGUCUGACGGAGCAACGCCGCGUGAGUGAAGAAGGAUUUCGGUUCGUAAAACUCUGUUGUUAGGGAAGAAAAAAUGUAUAGUAACUAUAUACAAAAGAGACGGUACCUAACCAGAAAGCCACGGCUAACUACGUGCCAGCAGCCGCGGUAAUACGUAGGUGGCAAGCGUUGUCCGGAAUUAUUGGGCGUAAAGCGCGCGCAGGUGGUUUAGAAAGUCUGAUGUGAAAGCCCACGGCUCAACCGUGGAGGGUCAUUGGAAACUAAUAAACUUGAGUGCAGGAGAGAAAAGUGGAAUUCCUAGUGUAGCGGUGAAAUGCGUAGAGAUUAGGAAGAACACCGGUGGCGAAAGCAGCUUUUUGGCCUGCAACUGACACUGAGGCGCGAAAGCGUGGGGAGCAAACAGG